UGAAUACGAGACGCUAAGGCGUCGAAGUAGUGUAUAUCAGACUUCCAAGAAAAGCUUGCACUGUCAUAGAUAAAAAAUGCCUGUACCAUAACCGACACAGGUGGGUAGGUAGAGUAUACUAAGGGGCGCGAGAUAACUCUCUCUAAGGAACUCGGCAAAAUAACUCCGUAACUUCGGGAGAAGGAGUGCCUUAUUUAUAAGGUUGCAAUAACAAGAUCCAAGCAACUGUUUAUCAAAAACACAGGUCUCCGCUAAGUCGUAAGACGAUGUAUGGAGGCUGACGCCUGCCCAGUGCCAGAAGGUUAAAGAAGUUGGUUAGCAAUUGCGAAGCUGAUAACUGAAGCCCUGGUGAACGGCGGCCGUAACUAUAACGGUCCUAAUGUAGCGAAAUUCCUUGUCGGGUAAGUUCCGACCCGCACGAAAGGCGUAAUGAUUUGGAUACUGUCUCGGAGAGGGGCUCGGUGAAAUAGACUUGUCUGUGAAGAUGCGGACUACCUGCACCAGGACAGAAAGACCCUAUGAAGCUUUACUGUAACUUGAAAUUGAAAUUGGACUUUAUUCGCCAGCAUAGGUGGGAGGCGUUGAUUAUAAUCUUGCGGGAUUAUUGGAGCCAUCAGUGAGAUACCACUCUUGUAAUGUUAGAUUUCUAACUUUGAAUCAUUAUCUGGUCAAAGAACAGUUUCAGGCGCAGUUUGACUGGGGCGGUCGCCUCCUAAAUGGUAACGGAGGCGUACAAAGGUUUCCUCUGAACGGUUAGAAAUCGUAUCUAGAGUGUAAAGGCAUAAGGAAGCUUGACUGUGAAACCUACAAGUCGAGCAGGGACGAAAGUCGGUCUUAGUGAUCUGACGGUACUGAGUGGAAAGGCCGUCACUCAACGGAUAAAAGUUACUCUAAGGAUAACAGGCUGAUCUCCCCCAAGAGUUCACAUCGACGGGGAGGUUUGGCACCUCGAUGUCGGCUCAUCGCAUCCUGGGGCGGUAGUACGUCCCAAGGGUUGGGCUGUUCGCCCAUGAAAGCGGUACGCGAGCUGGGUUCAGAACGUCGUGAGACAGUUCGGUCCAUAUCCGGUGUAGGCGUUAGAAUAUUGAGAGGAGCCUUCUUUAGUACGAGAGGACCGAGAAGGACAUACCUCUGGUGUACCAGUUAUCGUGCCAACGGUAAACGCUGGGUAGCUAUGUAUGGAGUGGAUAACCGCUGAAAGCAUCUAAGUGGGAAGCCCACCUC
Molecule: ribosomal RNA, 1224 nt
Filed under: metagenome
Description: bacterial LSU rRNA
Rfam family: Bacterial large subunit ribosomal RNA
Source: RNAcentral